Molecule: ribosomal RNA, 209 nt
Filed under: uncultured Coriobacteriaceae bacterium
Lineage: Bacteria; Bacillati; Actinomycetota; Coriobacteriia; Coriobacteriales; Coriobacteriaceae
Description: partial 16S ribosomal RNA
Rfam family: Bacterial small subunit ribosomal RNA
Source: RNAcentral
GGGGAGUGACGUCAAGUCAUCAUGCCCCUUAUGUCCUGGGCUGCACACGUGCUACAAUGGUCGGUACAAUGGGCUGCGAUGCCGCGAGGCGGAGCGAAUCCCAUAAAACCGGCCCCAGUUCGGAUCGGAGGCUGCAACUCGCCUCCGUGAAGUCGGAGUUGCUAGUAAUCGCGGAUCAGCACGCCGCGGUGAAUACGUUCCCGGGCCUU